AUUGAACGCUGGCGGCAUGCCUUACACAUGCAAGUCGAACGGUAACAGGUUAAGCUGACGAGUGGCGAACGGGUGAGUAAUGUAUCGGAACGUGCCCAGUCGUGGGGGAUAACUGCUCGAAAGAGCAGCUAAUACCGCAUACGACCUGAGGGUGAAAGCGGGGGAUCGCAAGACCUCGCGCGAUUGGAGCGGCCGAUAUCAGAUUAGGUAGUUGGUGAGGUAAAGGCUCACCAAGCCGACGAUCUGUAGCUGGUCUGAGAGGACGACCAGCCACACUGGGACUGAGACACGGCCCAGACUCCUACGGGAGGCAGCAGUGGGGAAUUUUGGACAAUGGGCGCAAGCCUGAUCCAGCCAUGCCGCGUGCGGGAAGAAGGCCUUCGGGUUGUAAACCGCUUUUGUCAGGGAAGAAAAGGUUCUGGCUAAUACCUGGGACUCAUGACGGUACCUGAAGAAUAAGCACCGGUUAACUACGUG
This 477-nucleotide ribosomal RNA is filed under the name uncultured bacterium. RNAcentral describes it as "partial 16S ribosomal RNA". It matches the Rfam family "Bacterial small subunit ribosomal RNA", at positions 30 to 507 of the family's 1533-position model. The record is from RNAcentral.